AAAAAUUUGGUCAAAGAACCAACGACCUUUUACAUAUCACAGAGAAGGUCUCUAUAGUCAGUUAACGACCCUCAGCUUUUGACCUUCUGUUUUUGGUCACAAAAAGGUCGCAAAUGAAAAACUAUGACCUUUCAGCGACCAAUAGUGAGGGUCACAAGUUGACAUAUUUCUUGUAGUGAAAUGUCAAGUACUUUCGUGUAUUUGGGUGCAAAUGUUUCAUCCUCAACAAAAGAGAACGGUUAGGAAAAAUUUAAUCCAAAACAAUUGAGGGUAUAUUUGUUGGCUAUGGAUCAAACUCUCACGCCUAUAGAGUCUACAACAAAUCCAAUGGAUGUGUUGUAGAAACUUCUGACAUGGUGUUUGAUGAAUUUAAUGGCUCCCAUGUGGAGCAAGUUGAUCUAAGUGAUGUAGGUGAAGAAGAUUCCUCUCAAGACAUUUUGACCAUGGGUGUUGGUGCACUUCUUCCUAUGGAACAAGAACCUCAUGAUGAUGAAGAAGAUGGAAGUCUCACACAUCAUCAAACUACUUCAACAUCCAUAUCACCACAAGCUCCUAUUGUUCAACCAAUACCCUUAGCCCAAGUUGAAGAGGAUAAUCAAGUUCCUCUUCAUGAUAAUCUUCAAGAACAAGAUCAUCAUCCAGUGCAAGAACAAGAAAGUCCAAUCAUUGAUGAUGAACCUCAACUAAUGCAAUAUGAACAAGAAGAUCUUCCUCCACACAUUAAUGAUCCAUAUGUUGAGGAUGUGGAUGAUGGACAUGAAGUUGAACCUCGUGAAACCCUUACCUCCAUCGUGCCUCGAGUGGCCGGUCGUGUUGAUGUUGACAAAAUUCUCACUGGCAUAUCGGAAGGUAGAGUAACUCGUAAACAUUUGACAAACUUUUGUGCUCACUUCUCAUUUGUGUCUAGUAUUGAGCCCCUCAAGGUACAAGAUGCAUUGAUGGACAAUGAUUGGCUAGUUGCUAUGCAAGAAUAGUUGAACAGUUUUGAACGCAACCAAGUGUGGUCAUUAGUGAAGAGGCCAUCUACUAAGCACAACGUCAUUGGAACAAAAUGGAUUUUCAAGAACAAGCAAGAUGAAAAUGGUGUAAUCAUCCGUAACAAGGCAAGGUUAGUGGCACAAGGGUACUCACAAGUUGAAGGUUUGGACUUUGGUGAGACCUUUGCCCCCGUUGCCCAUCUUGAAUCCAUUCGCAUCUUACUUGCUUAUGCCGCUUUCAAUGGUUUUACAUUACAUCAAAUGGAUGUGAAGAGUGUUUUCCUUAACGGUCCUCUACAAGAAGAAGUAUAUGUGUCACAACCACCCGGGUUUGUUGAUCCCUUUCACAAAGAGUAUGUGUAUAAACUUCAUAAGGCUUUGUAUGGCCUCAAACAAGCACCUCGUGCUUGGUAUGAUCAUUUUAAGAAGUUUUUACUCGAUGAUGGUUUUGUGAGAGGGGUGAUUGAUCCCACUCUUUUUACUAAGAGGGACAAGGGUGAUUUGAUCCUAUGCCAAAUCUAUGUAGAUGACAUCAUUUUUGGUUCUCCUAACAUUCAUUUGUGCAAGAAGUUUGCGGCUUCAAUGACCAAGAAUUUUGAAAUGUCACUCAAUACGGAUUUGAAGUUCUUUCUCGGAUUUCAAAUUCAAAAAUUUCAAGAAGGACUUUUCUUAUCUCAAGCAAAGUACAUCAAGGAUAUCCUAGAGAAGUUUGGCAUGUCUGAUGCUUGUCCAUGCAAGACACCCAUGCCAACCAAAAUUGCUCUCACUGAAGACACAAAUGGUACUCCUUUUGACCCAUCUACUUUCCGCUGUAUGAUUGGUUCAUUGCUUUAUCUUUGUGCAUCUAGACCAGACAUCAUGUUCAGUGUAUGCAUGUGUGCUAGAUUUCAAUCUUUCCCUAUGGAAAGUCAUCAUAAGGCGGUUAAGCAUAUUCUUAGAUACCUUGUUCACACCCCAAAGUUGGGCCUCUGGUACCCCAAGGAUGCUAAGUUCGAUCUCAUUGGGUACACGGAUGCCGAUUGGGCUGGAGACAAAGUGGAUCGUAAGUCCACAUCCGGUGCAUGUCAGUUUCUUGGAUGACCCUUGGUAAGUUGGUCCUCGAAGAAACAAAAUUGUAUUGCCCUCUCUAACGCUGAAGCUGAAUACAUUGCUGCUGCCAGUUGUGCAACUCAGUUGUUAUGGAUGAGGCAAACUUUGAAGGAUUACGGUAUCACCUAUAGACAUGUGCCUCUUCUAUGUGAUAAUGAAAGUGCCAUCAACAUUGCUGAGAACCCUAAAGAUCAUCUCCGCACCAAACACAUUGAUAUUAGGUAUCAUUUCUUGAGAGAUCAUGUUGAAAAGGGAGAUAUUCACAUUGAUCACAUUGGUACAGAUUUGCAACUGGCAGAUAUCUUCACCAAACCUUUAGAUGAAGCAAGGUUUUGUCGACUUAGGAGUGAACUUGGUAUCUUGGAGCUUGACAAUAUUAUGUGAAAUCUAGUACCCAUUCAUGCAUGAAUCUAAUGUCUGGUGAUGAUGUAGGCAUAUAUUUAGGGGGAGGCGUUCAAUUCAUGAAUGUUCUCACCCUACAUAAUGCAUAAAAAGAACCAACACUCUCAAAGCUACCUUAGUUCUCGAACUAUGGUGCUUUAACAUGAUGGAGUCGUGACUAUAUGCCCACAACCUACAUCUUUGCAGCACCAUGUUACAUAUGCUCAAACAUGGUGACCUCGGUCAUCGCGUGUACCUUACAUAUGUGAACCUCUCGUUUUUAUGUUGUUGUUAGGAAUGCUAUUUCAUCUUAGUAUGGCCUUAGAAUUACUCAUGGAGUCACCUUUAUAAAUUCUCUCCAAAACUCCUUGGCGGAGUCUAUAUCAAAUCACAUCAAUUAUCUCCUUUCCAAUCUCUCUCUAGCCUAGAUCUGCUGUCCAGUGGCCGGACAUCCGGCUCCUUCGCCGGACAUCUGGGCCCUGGAGCACUGCCGGACAUCCGGGCUUUAGGCAGACAUCCGGGCCCUGAUCCUAUAGCAGUCGGUCCCUCACACACCGGAUAUCCGGCCUCCUUCCCGGAUGUCCAGCCCGUUGUCCCCUUUUGACUUGCUCUCUAACCCUUGCUCGUCGGAUAUCCGGGCUAGGCCCCGGAUAUCCGGUCCAUACCCGCGGCCACACAUAUCUGGGGAGGGGCUCGGGCGUUUGGGGCAUCUUUCCUCAUUCACUCCCGUUCCUCUUCGCCAACGCUCACACAGCCGCCGCCGCCGGGAUGCCACUCCGGUGCUGCCCCGGCCCUAUUCUCCGAGCUCCGGCCCCGAUCUCCUGCUCACGGCCUCUCUUCCUCCCGAUCUAUGAUUCUAUCCAAUCCAUUUCUUGGGUUGGGUUGUGAAUUCCUCGUGAGGGACCUGUGUUGUGUGGGAGUAACGACCGGAGUUCAUCAUGGCAAGGACCAAGAACUGCGGCCCCGAUCGUCCCGAGCCCUCUUCUAGGGGUAUGCAUGCUAUCUAUCCUCCAUUCCGCUUCUAUGGUGACCACAAGGUCUUAGGGCAUCACUUUUGGUCCCUUGAGUGUUGGUGUCUCUUGCCUAUGCCUAAAACAUCUGUCAAUGAACUUGGCUGCUCAAAUUUAAAUCAUGGACAUGUCUCUUUUUGAUAUACCACUGAACUUAUUCUUUUGUCAUGCUCAAAAUGGUCAUCCCAUUGUUUAAAAUUGUUUUAUCAUCCUUAUUCGUACCAUAUCAUCGGGAUCUCUCAUCCAUUCCAGUUGUCCGCCGGCUAGGCUCAACCGACUCCGAUGAGCAUGCUUGGCCUAAGAAGAAGAAGGCCACCACCGUUAAGAAGAAGAAGCGGGCACCAUACAAUAGUCCAUCGGCCUCGGAUCCAGAUGAUGCGGACUAUGUUGGGGAGGAUGAGGAGGUCUGUGCACCAAGACACUCCGUUGGACAGUCCAAGCCCGGUACUAGGAGGGCCCUGGUGCCUCAUGUCAGCGGGUCUGCAAUGCCCGUUGCUCAUGGCCGUCACAUCUCCAUGGAGCUUCCUGACAACGGGGAUCGUGCUCCUCACAACUUCAAAAUUGUAGGGGUAGCUCAAUAUCUUGUGUUUCAUCGGGAUGUCAAUCAAUAUGAGAUGGUGGCUGAUGCGGAGGAUCCUCGGUUCCGGACUCAUAUGCAGCAGGAUCUCUAUUCCAGUUUCGUCCGUGGGCGUGGACUUGCUCCUCACUCAUACUUGGAUCUCAACUUUCUACGUGAGAAUCCUGACAUGUUUGCAAACGAUCCGGUCCAGAUCAUUGAUGAUAUCACUCUCGGUCCCGCAAUGACCUUCAGGUGUGAUUGAUAUGAAGCUGCAAUUCUAUAGUUCUAUGCCACCUGUUUCUUUGGUCCGGACAACACUCUCACUUGGAGGACUGAUAACACCACUCUGAGCAUCACAUAUGACAGGUUUGCUCAGAUUUUAGGUCUCUCUAGUGUUGGCCAUCGCAUCCACAGUAUGGAUCCAGAGAGCAAGCCCAAAGCGAUUGAUGCUUGCUUACCACUUAUCAAACCUACCUCUCAGCUCACUAAAGAAGAACUUGCAUAUCCACUCAAUGAGGUAUCUAUCUUCCAUGCUCCUUACUACAUCCUCUAUCAGUGUGUGCUUUGCACUCUCUAUCCUAAGAAGGGAGAUUGCUCACGGGCCUACAACUAUUGCAUUGACUUGAUGGUUCUUAUGCAUGACAAACACAAUGAGCCUCUGGACACAGCCCAUUUCAUUUGGCAUGAGAUCCGUCUUUGCAAUUUCAUUCAGUCACGCCAGUUUCCUCAUGCUCCAUUCAUUCAGGCUUUGACUCAUCAUACUGCUCCAUUUGAGGUGGUCAAGACUACUGUUCACUCUUGUUGGAAGCCUGCACCUCAUAUGCGUGUGGUGGCUGCUGCUCCGCCUACUGCCCCUUCACAGUCUAGGAGGUCUGUUGGAGGGACUCAGCCCACUGGUUCCUCUAUUCCAUCUUCCUCGACAGCUCCCUGUGGUCGCUUAGCGAUGUUCAUCAGCAAGGCUCAAUCUGCCAUCAUGAGGUCCAUCACUUUUAGCUGUCAGCAGAAUCAUGAUGUCCAGAAGCGCCUCAUCCUCUCCAAGAAUCAGCUCAAGCAGCGCCUCUGUAACCGUGGGAGUCCCGUGAGUGACGAUGAUCCUAUUCCUGCGGCUCCGUCCACCUCUACGUUCGGCUUCCCCUCUCGUGACAAUUAUCCAGAGUUCUUUGAUGAUCUUGAUGACAUCCGCCAGGAGUAUUACUUGGUAUGUUGACCUUGGUAUGUUGCUUGUGUUAGCCCUACUAUAAUUCGAACUUGGUAUGUUGAACUUGGUAUGUUGCUACCUAUGUUAUCGUAUUAUCUUGAUCAUGUGAGUCUAUAUUGAUUACCUUGUGGCUAUGGAAUUUUUGUUUCCUUAUCCAUGUGUUAUUAUUGUUUCCUAUGUGCAUGCCAAAUACAUAUAUAUCUUCUGGAGAUACACAUGCUUCCUAAUAUAUUCAUUGCAUGCUCACAAUGAGGGGGAGCCAAAUACAAAUAGAAACAUCCACAUACUUUGUAUUCUUGCUCUCAUAUUUGUCAAUGCUGACUAUUUAUUACAACUGUGAUACUACAUGUGUGAUUGUCGUCAACAAACAAAAACGGGGAGAUUGAAAGAGCAAUCAUGCUCUUACAUGAAGUUUUUUAUGUUGAUGACAAUAUACAUGUAGGGGACUAACAAUGGUUGUUAAGUAAAUCUCAGGUGUUACUCCCUGGUUUCAUCGACGUGUGUGGAUCAAGAGCAUACAAAGUAAUUUUGCUCAAGGAUGAAGUAUCAAAAGUGAUUUCAUAUUUAUUUCCUUGAGUAUAGGAUCCCGCACUAUUAAGAGGGGAUCGAUAGGGUUAGCUUAAGACUUGCUCAUUUCAAUAACAACCGUUCAAAACUAGGCUACUGUUCCAACUUUAUGUCCUUUGAUAAGGUUCUGUCUCUGGCAUACCGGAUGUCCGGGCUUGACCCCGGAUGUCCGGGCUCAUGGCGAAUAUCCGGCCUACAGGCCGGAUUUUCGGGCCUAGCUAUCCUGAAUGCAUUUUUGCUGGUAUCACCUACCGGAUGUCCGGCCCUCUAUGUCGAAUGUCCGGGCCCUCAUGCCGCGCCAGAUGUCCGGGCCUUAUCCCGGAUGUCCGGCCCCUUCUACCAUAGAACAACGGGGUUUCUGUAACCACCCACUACUAGGAAAAGGGUUAUAGAUAGGAUUGAUACUAAUGGCGCACCAGGCAAGCAGUGCGCCACUACUAUAUUCUAAUGGCGCACCGGUUGGUGGUGCACCAUUAGUCUGGAAGACACUAAUGGCGCACCAGGUACAUGGUGCGCCACUAGUAUUGAUUUUUUUCCAUUUUUCCAUACACUCUAAUGGCGCAUGAUGCAAAAGUGCGCCAUUACUAGUUAGAACUAGUAAUGGCGCACCACCCAUACAGUGCGCCAUUAGUAUAUUUUUUUUCUUUUUUGCAAACCUACUAAUGGCGCACCGUGUCGAAGUGCGCCAUUACUAGUUUAAACUACUAAUGGUGCACUUUUCCCACAGUGCGCCAUUAGAAUACAUAUGUUUUUUUACUAUUCUGCAAAAACUGCUAAUGGCGCACCACCCGCAGGUGCGCCAUUAGUAACCAGGGUUACUAAUGGUGCAUUUGCUGCUUGUGCGCCAUUAGUAACCUGGGACCAACAAGAUAUUUUGGACAGCCAACCUACCCACUCACUUUCCCCACUUCAUUCUCUCCACCUCCUCCUCCAAGCUUGUCUCGGCUGCCUCCUCCUCCUCACCUCAUUUCCACCAUAGAUUCAUCAAAAUUAAGUGGUGAAAUUACCUUUUUUUGAUAGGUAAGUAAGGGGAAAGCUAUCUUCAUGAUGUAGAUCUACUGUUUUUCUCCCUAGCUCGCUCCAACAACGUGCACGUGCACUUUUUGUGGCCUAGCUAGAUCUAUGUAUGUUUGUGGUGUUUCUUGUGUUUGUGGUGUUGCAUAUAUGUUUGUGUUUGCAGGUACCCGUAUUUGAAAUGCAAUAGUUGCCAAUAUUUUGCCGGAAUGUUGAUUCAUUUCCGUUUCGGCGAGAAUUUUGGCACUAUGCAUUCUUUUUGGUCCUAUUUUUAGGGAAGGUCAUGCCAAAUUUUUUCUUGGUUCUAAAAUAUCAUUUUGCUCUACCCCGCAGGCGACCAUGGUCCGCACGAUGACCGAAGGCAUCGUGAAUAGGUUUCCCCACUGCCCACUGCCGGGAAAGAAGCAAAAGGCGCUAGAGCCGGGAAAGAAGCGAAAGGCGCCAGAGCCACUACUGAAGGUAUGGCAAACGAGGUCUGUUUUCUGGGACUUGCCGUACUGGAAGAUCCACUGUGUGCCUCACAGCCUUGAUGUCAUGUAUAUCACGAAGAACGUGUGCGAGAGUCUGCUUGGUACCUUGCUCAACAUGCCAGAGAGGACCAAAGAUGGGCCGAAAGCAAGGGCAGACUUGAAAUCAAUGGGCAUCAGGCAGGAGCUUCACGCUAAUGAUGAUGAUGAUGAGGCGAAGCAGGACACAGAAAGUCGCCAAGAAGACCGGAAAUGACUACCCUCCCGCGUGCUUCACUCUAAGUCAGGAGGAGAUCGAGUAGUUUUUCACCUGCCUCCUAGGAGUAAAACUUCCUUACGGUUAUGCGGGGAAGAUAAGCAGAUACCUAGACCCAGUGAAGCAGAUGUUCCGCGGCAUGAAGUCUCACGACUGUCACAUGCUGAUGACGCAGAUACUUCCAGUUGCAAUCCGUGGGAUCAUGGACGCGCAUGUCCAUGAAACGCUAUUUGGCCUAUGCAACUUUUUCGACGUCAUCUCUCAGAAGUCCAUUGGCGUGAGGCAACUCGGAAGGCUACAGGAAGAGAUCAUGGUGACACUAUGCGAGCUUGAGAUGUACUUCCCGCCUGCAUUCUUCGAUGUUAUGGUCCAUCUGCUGGUCCAUAUCGUGGAGGAUAUCAUCCAACUCGGGCCAACGUUCCUGCACAGCAUGAUGCCGUUCGAAAGGAUGAAUGGUGUCAUCAAAGGAUACGUUCGAAACAUGUCACAUCCAGAGGGAAGUAUAGCCAGGGGCUUUCUGACCGAAGAGUGCAUCUCCUACUGCAUGAAUUAUCUAGGCAUGGAGAACCCCGUUGGUCUGCCCGUCAACAGGCACCUCGGCAGGCUCGCUGGAUGGGGUCACCAUGAGGGUCGCCGCGAAAUGCAUGUCGACUUCGAGGGUCGACUCGCCGACUUUGAAAGAGCAAACCUAGUCGCGCUACAACACAUAGACGUGGUCGAUCCUUGGGUGGUAGAGCACAAAAUCUUUAUUGAGAAGACGUACAAUGACCGAGACCAACAGAGGACGGACGGAGAUAUAAUCAAAGAGCACAACUCAUGUUUCAUGCGUUGGUUCAAGCAGAAGCUUCUGUCGUACCCUUUACACGAGGAUUCUUCCGCGGAAGAACAACUCAUAUUCGCCUUGUCACAGGGCGCCGAGCACAACCUGAUGACCUAUGAGGCGUACGAUAUCAACGGCUACACAUUCUACACCGAGGACAAGGACAUGAAGAGCGCUGGUUAUCAGAACUCCGGGGUAACGAUGGAAUCUUACACCGGCAACGACAAGGACGGAUACUACGAAAGGAUCGAGGAGAUCUGGGAGCUGAGCUAUGCUGGAGAGAAUGUCCCGAUGUUCCGUGUCAGAUGGGCCAAGAGCGUCCUAAAAGAAGAACGGUAUUUCAGCACCAUGGUUAUACCCGAAGCCAAAUCCAAGACCGCGGGCGCAAACUUCACCGCAAAAAAUGAGCCAUGGGUACUGGCUUCCCAAGUGGACCCGCCAAAGCCCAAUCGUGUUGUCGUGAGGAGAGGCAAAAGGAAGAUCAUCGGAAUGGAUGGAGUAGCCAAUGAGCAAGACUUUGACAAGUACGGCGACUCAAAGAUCGAACAUGACGACGACGAUGAAGUAGCAGCACACACCACAAGAAGAAGCAGGACCACCCUACCUAAAGGACGUCCAUUCCACAGAAGAACUCCAUUUGCGAAAAAGAAGGGCAAGAAUAUUGUGAACAGAUAGCGAGCUAAGAUCGAUUGUAUUUAAAUCGUAGUCUUCAUUUCUCGAUUGUAUUUCAUGGGCACUUUUUGAUAUCAUGAAUAUUUUUAAAUUUCAUGGGCACUUUUUGAAUUCAUGAGGACACUUGAUCUCGAUCCCCCUCCAUCUCGAUCUCGAUUCCCCCUCCAUCUCGAUCUUGAUCCCCCUCCAUCUCGAUCCCACCCGCACCAUCCCCCGCUAGCUCCACCGAUGCCGACGACCCACCGCAACCCUCCCCCGCUCCACCGCCGCCGACGAGCACCCGGCCCCCCGCACCCUCUCCCGCUCCACCGCCGCCGCCGAUGAUAUUUUCAAGUAACUAAUUGGAACAUAUUUUUUUAAAAAUUAUUACUGUUUUUAUAAAAAAAAUAUUACUGUUAUGAUUUUAACAAGUUUGAACAUAUUUAAACACAAAUAAAUAUAAAAAUCAGCAUUUAAAAUGCAUAAAAAAAUAUUGGGGAGCCUGGGAAUCGAACCCAAGACCUCCUGGUGUCUGUGCUGCGUGCUGACCAGUCGGGCUAGUGGGUGGGUUCGAUUGUAGAUAGGGUUAGGUUGUAGAUAGGGCUAGUGGGAUAGAUUAGAACAAAAUUCUAAUGGCACACCGAGCGCUGGUGCGCCAUUAGAAUAGUCGUACUUAUGGCGCACGAGAUGGUGGUGCGCCAUUAGAAUAGUCGUACACUAACUAAAUCCCCAAUCUCUCUAUUCUCUCCNNNNNNNNNNNNNNNNNNNNNNNNNNNNNNNNNNNNNNNNNNNNNNNNNNNNNNNNNNNNNNNNNNNNNNNNNNNNNNNNNNNNNNNNNNNNNNNNNNNNNNNNNNNNNNNNNNNNNNNNNNNNNNNNNNNNNNNNNNNNNNNNNNNNNNNNNNNNNNNNNNNNNNNNNNNNNNNNNNNNNNNNNNNNNNNNNNNNNNNNNNNNNNNNNNNNNNNNNNNNNNNNNNNNNNNNNNNNNNNNNNNNNNNNNNNNNNNNNNNNNNNNNNNNNNNNNNNNNNNNNNNCCCGCCGCCCCCGCGCCCCCCGAACGGGAUCGGCCGAGCGCACGCGCUAGGGUUCCUCACCCCGCCGCCCGCUCCUAUCAUCUCCUCCUCCCUUCGACGAGUGAGGGCCUCCUCCGGCCCCUGCAGCAGCCGGCAAGCGCGGCCCCGACGCGCCCACCCCGCCUUCCCCUGCCGUCCUCCGCCACCGGUCACCUCCGCAGCAGCCGGCGAGCCAAGGACGGUGCCGUGACCCUCGCCACCAACCCUGAGCUCCCCUGCUUCCUCUCUGCGCUGUCCAAGGUGAGCUUCCCUGCCCCUUCUCCCUCUCUCUCCAUGUCCUAGACAUCAAGAUCAAGAGAAUUAUGCUUUUAAUUAAAAUUAUGCUUUGAACAGUAGAUACAAAAAACAGAGUAUGGACCACUCAUCCAAUAUUUUAAGUGUUCUGAUUCAUAAGUAAAUCGCAUUAAUUCAUUCAGUGUAGGGGAAACUUAGAAGAGAAUUCAACAUCCUUGGUCUGUUUUAUAGUCAAUUCAUAAAAUAAAUUGCCUUCAAUAUUUUCCCUCAAGCAAUGUUAAGCACCAACAUAUACUCCAAGUUUAAUGUUUGACACAAAUUCAGUUUAAUGUUUGACACAACUGUCCAGUACCAAAGACUUAGGAGUAUUGCAAAAUAUUAAGAUAAUGGUAACUGGCUUUUCUUCUUUUCAACAACACGCGGGUUGAUGGUUUGAUAGGCUCCUAACGGUUCAUGUAUCAUCACUUACUGACAUCCCAAACAUAUGCAGAAAUAUGCCUCUAUGGCCUAGACCUACAACUAUCUCCUGCUAUGGAUGUUUGCUGAACCGAAUAAAUUAAUGCAAUAUGUGCUGAACAAUUUUACAACAUGUCCUUGUACAAGCUUGUUGUGACACUUUUUUUUGUCCUAAGUUCCAAUUUUACAGAGAGAUGCCUCCUAGAGUCACUAAAGUUCAUUCUUCUAGAGCUCAUGAUAAUAAUAGUCAUGUUGGGACUCGUGUAAGGAAGUAACAAAAACAUACUGCUCUUUAGUUCACUGUUUUCUUCUUUCUUCUGUUUUUACCUACUACCUGAAUGUAAUGGCUAUAAAGCCCCCUUUCUCAUUUCAUUUGAACCAUGUUGUUGAACUGGGUUAAACCCUAGCCGCCAGAGGCAUGCUUUACCCUAUGCGCUCCCUUCCAAGUAAUAAAAACCCUAAAGCCAAGUGCAUGUUCCACUUAAAGUUCUCUGAAUGUUUAGUUUCAGUCUUUGGAAUAGUUGUGUUCUUGACAUAACUGCAUUUUGAAAAUUUGUCAGAUGUAGUUGUGGGCACAGAGUGGUAGUUAAUUUAGACAUUUUUUUAUAUAAGUUUCAUUCUGGUACAAGGCAAGAUUCAGUCUAGGGAUUUUGUUUUUGUUUUUGUGGUUCAAUGCUGUCAUUGUCCUAGCCCAUGCUUGAUGUUUAUGGUCUUUGAGAAUGUAGUUGGAUAUUGAUGUAGUACUGAUGCCCCUGGCUUGGGCUCGUGGUUCAGUUCUGUAGGACCGAUGCCCCUAGCUUAGGCUUGUGGUCUUUGAGAAUGUAGUUGGAUAUUGAUGUUUUUUGAGAAACACAGUACCAACAUGUCCAUAAUGAUUUUGGCAGUAGUGUGAGGCAGCAGCGUGCAGAGCAAUUCCUUCGUUGGAUAAUGAUUUUGCAGGUACCCCGGGAGGCCCUUGAGUUUGCCGGAAUGUCGAUUAACUUCCGUUCCGGCAAAUUCGGGUACUCCAUAUGUCCUAUUUUCAGCAAAGGUCAUGCUGAAAUUUUCUGUGAAUUUUAGCAUGACUUUGCUAAAAAUAGGACAUAUGGGGUACUUGAGACUAAUGCAUGGGCCGGUGUAUCUUAGUACUUAGUUAAGUAGGAUCAACUGCCCCUUUAUUCUUGCUGCAUUAAACCAUAGGUGGCAAUAGAGCCAAGUGAUUAGGCCCAACUUAGAAUUCUCCUUAGCAUCAAUAAACCCUAGAUGAUAAACCCAACAUAGGUGGCAAUAGAGCCAAGUGAUUAGUGCCAAGUGAUUAGGCCCAACCUAGGAUGCCUCGGUGUCGACAAACCCUAAAUGAUGAAACCUUGGCUUCUAUAGGGUGCCUCGGUGUCGAUGAGAACCUAAAUGAUGUACGCUUAGGCUUUUAGGGUGCCUCGGCGUCGACAAACCCUAAAUGAUAAAAGCUUACCUUUUAGGAUGCCUCGGUGUCGACAAACCCUAAAUGAUGACACCAUGAUCUUGUUCCUUGACAAUAACCAACUUUUUGACAAAACUUUUUUCCUAUUUAGAGCGAAACAUGGCCCACAACGAUGAGGUCGGUCGUUCGGGCGGCAAGCAAUUCUGGGAGCUAUCCCAGGAGAUGGAGGAACAACCUCACCGCUAUGAGGAUGCCGCGGAAGACACCAAUCCUGAUUACACAACCCCUAGUGGCGUCGGGGAUGACACCACUGAUGGUGCCGUCGAGGAUGCCACCACUGAUGAUGGCGGCGCAUACACAGAUGGCAGCCAACCGAAGAAGCAAAGGAAGGACCAGCGUCCGAAUGCGCUCCACACCCUCAAGGAGGAAUUCACUCAAGUGGACUCCGACGGGAAUCCAACGGAGCCCAAACAUAUAGUCAAGGGGUACUCGGUUCAGCUCUGGUGCAUUCUCCGGAGCACCAUCUCGAUCAACACCGAGAACCUUAGGCAUAAGGACCGAGGGAAUUUGCGCAACCUCCUCUUCACGAAGCUGCACGAAUGAUACAAGUUCCCCGCCGAAUUUGAAAACACAUGCCUCUCAGGGAAUAAAGUGAAUAGUGCCACCCUCGUGAAGAUGAGCACGGCCCUGUCUACUUGGAGAAGCGCAGUGAAGAGAAUGAUUGAUAAAGGUGAUACUUAUGAGAAGAUCAAGGCGAAAUAUCCUUUGAUGAGCGAAGAUGAGUACAAGGAGUUCAAGAUCAAGUGCGAGAGCAGCACAACCUCCAAAUCAAGUCAGUGGGGGAAAGAAAUGCGGGAGUUGAACUUAGGGGAACACAUACUCGGUCCCGACGGUUACAGAGUGGCGGAGCCUAUAUGGGACAAGGAGGACGCGGAGCGUGCCGAGCAAUGGCUUGUCCACAAAAUGGGGGGCAUACUAUACCGCUGGUGUGCGGAAGGAGAAAAAGUCCAGCUCGGAAGGCCAGACGCGCGAGGUUGAAGCACUCAAGGCACAAGUGGCGCGGAUUCCAGAGCUUGUCCAAGAGCAAGUGGAACAACAACUGGAAACGAAGCUCAACGCCAUGGUGCCUACGUUGAUUCAUGGGCUGAUGACAUGGAUUGCGGGCGGCCAACAGGGGCCUCCCCCGGUUCCCAGCUUCACGGCCAGCAACUCGCACAGUGCGCAGGCGGCGCCAUUGGUGUCUCCGGCGGCGGCGCCAUUGGUGUCUCUGGCGGAGGUGGUAUUCGUGUCUCCGGCGCCGGCACGGGCAUUGGAGCUUAAUGCACCGGGGUGUACGCCGGCCGGCACCUCGCCAGCAAGCUCCCCCUCCGUCAGUUGCACGCCCGCCGUUGGCGGUGCCUCGACAUUAGCCGAGCUCGACGGCAUCAUGGUAACUAAGCCUCUCGGCCGAUGACUUCAUCUCCUUGCCUUUGACUGGGCAUCCCUGACGCCCUGUACAUGUUUUCGCAGGGCGCCGCCGAUGUUCCUUGCACUCUUCUGCACUUCGUGGGCGCCGACUUGGUCAAUGUCACCAAGGGCAGAAUCGUUCAACCGGGCAACCGCAUGUUCCACGGUAAUCCGAUGGCACCCACAAUGUAUAGGGUUGAAGUGGUUCGGGUGCUGCCAGGCUGCGACGAGCUGUUACCUCCGAUUCGACCCGCUGGGGCCGAUGAAGAAGAUGAGAUGACCCUCAGCGCCUGCGUAAACUGGCCCCUGCUUUGGCCGAAGAGCCAUAUUCAUUUGGGGGCGGGGGACACCACCCCACAGACAAGACCGCCAGUCGUGCCGGCGCCAAGCCAUGGCAAGAACGCCGCAACGCUACCGGACCUGCCGGACAUCCCUGUGUCGGACAUCCCUAUGGCACAGGAUACGGACAUCCCUAUGGCACAGGAUCCGGACGACGACGACAACGAUGACGGUACAUGUACCAAAGUCGAUACGUACUUUGCCGAACAUGGGUACGCUGACGAGUUCUGCGGGCCUCUUUGUCAAGAACCCAACCAAGACGACCGCAAUCUAGCCGGUACGGCGGAGAAAUCCAAUUGCAAUAGGCGUCGUCUAGCGUUCAGUUCUCAGGACACGCCUCUAGCUCCCGCCUUCACCGAGCCUCAGAUAGCUGAGGUGCGAAAUAUUAUCAGCCCCAACACGCUCAAGAAGGCGGUCUGUGAGCAGAACUCGUUCCCAUUACAGGAGAUCAAGAAGAAGGGACGGAAGCGAAAGACUAACAAGGGUGCCGGUGCGAGCUAGCCGGCAUCGAGUUCGAUCCGUGCUCAGGACGGACCACCUUCACCUAUGGAUAUCUCAAGGAGGGUGCAUGUGGCGAUGCUACCGCCAAAUAUGCUGAAUGCUGCAACCGGUGCUAUGCGGAGUAUGCAUGACAGUGUUCUUUCUUUGGAGAAGCGGCGUCUUAGAGAGAAUGAUGUGGCAUACUCGGUUUUCGUGGCCAAGGUGCCAGAGGGCAUGGGCUUUGUGGAUGGCGACAUCGGGGGUACGAUCGUCUUGCGGUUUGAUGACAUCUUUGCUAUGUUUAACCUUCAUCCACUGCACUACACCUUCGUUUGGCUGUUUUCGCUGACUAUGGAGAUGCGGAUCAUUAGAGACAAGACCCCAGACAUCGUGAUAGUCGACCCCUUCUACAUGCGUGCCAAGCACUUGAGCAGCACUGGGGACCGCCAAGUUGCGAGUUCACACCUUGAAGGCGUCAUUCUGGCAAACCCAGAUAAGGAUAACUUCCUUGUGGCUUACUUUCCCGAGUAAGUCAUCCCUUAACCGCCCCGUAACAUAUGAUUUCUUAGAUUUCGAUCGUUCUUUUUUUUCCAACAUUCCAUCUUCUGUGCAGUGACACACAUUGCACACUCAUCCUCUUAAGCCCGAAAUAUUCCAUGGCCACGUAUUUCGCCCCGAACCGUAACUCCAAGAUAGACUACACAAAUGUCAAGAAAGUUCUUGAUGAUGUUCUCCCUGGCUACGCCAAAUCUGGAGGCACCUUCACCAGGGCAGUUCGUAAGUACGGCAAGCACACCUUCUCACACAAUAUGAAUUUCUGCUGCGUCAAGCAGCCGCCUGGCGGUCAGAAGGAUGCCUACUACGCCCUCCAUCACAUGCAGGCGAUCGUAAGGGACCAUCAUCAACUUCUGCUACCACGUAGUCUCAAAGAUUGGGCCGCGAGGUUGUCGGCAAACCAGGACGCGGACCUCAGACAAGAAUUCUUUCGCAUCCAGUGGGAGUUUGCGGACAUCAUCCAUCAAGAUGUCCUUCAUACCUCGG
RNAcentral lists this long non-coding RNA (15455 nucleotides) under Triticum aestivum (bread wheat). Its description in RNAcentral is "long non-coding RNA (TAES_LNC008101)". Lineage: Eukaryota; Viridiplantae; Streptophyta; Magnoliopsida; Poales; Poaceae. The record is from RNAcentral.